This 579-nucleotide long non-coding RNA is filed under the name Brassica napus (rape). RNAcentral describes it as "long non-coding RNA (BNAP_LNC006387)". The record is from RNAcentral. Lineage: Eukaryota; Viridiplantae; Streptophyta; Magnoliopsida; Brassicales; Brassicaceae.
CCAUGAUAGAUGAAGAAGUAUUCUCAUGUGUCUAAUUUAAGUUUUUUUCACUAGAACAAGAAAGAUUCAUAUCAUUAGAAUCCAUAUGAUAUAUUUUAAAAGGGUCAUGAUAAAACAAAAAUAUCUAUUCAUUUCAACUUAAUAGGAUAAAAAAAUGUACAAAAGAUGAUCAUACUUAUCAUGGAAAAAAUAUGGUGGAACAAUGUAAUCUAAUGUAAAUGAUGAGUAUUGGUAAUCUUAAAUUUAAGAAGAAAUAAAUCAUAUGCUCACUAUUAGCGGGUGGAUUACAAUUGGGCCUAUAAUAUUCUAGAAAAUCACAAUAUAUACUCUCCCUUUUCUAUAUCCUUUAGUAAGAAGUUUUGGCAAUAAAUUAUAUUUUAAAUAAUAUCUAAUAUGUCAUUAACUUUUUACACAAACAUUGGUUCCACUUUGGAAUUUAUGGAUAGAACUUUACCUGUAUUAUAUUUAACUUCAAUGCUUGGGGAUACUUGAAUCUAUACCAAAGAGAGCAGUUAAAGUAAUAACACUUAGUCAAAACAUUUUGCUUCUAACUCGGUGUUUAAGUCAAGAUUAUAUCGG